AGAGUUGAUUAUGGCUCAGGAUGAACGCUAGCGACAGGCUUAACACAUGCAAGUCGAGGGGCAGCACGGGAGUAGCAAUACAACUGGUGGCGACCGGCGCACGGGUGAGUAACGCGUAUGCAACCUACCUAUCAGGAGGGGAAUAACCCGGCGAAAGUCGGACUAAUACCGCAUAAAACAGGGGCACCGCAUGGUGAUAUUUGUUAAAGAAAUUCGCUGAUAGAUGGGCAUGCGUUCCAUUAGGUAGUUGGUGAGGUAACGGCUCACCAAGCCGACGAUGGAUAGGGGAACUGAGAGGUUGGUCCCCCACACUGGUACUGAGACACGGACCAGACUCCUACGGGAGGCAGCAGUGAGGAAUAUUGGUCAAUGGGCGAGAGCCUGAACCAGCCAAGUCGCGUGAAGGAAGAAGGAUCUAUGGUUCGUAAACUUCUUUUGCAGGGGAAUAAAGUGCGGGACGUGUCCUGUUUUGUAUGUACCCUGAGAAUAAGGAUCGGCUAACUCCGUGCCAGCAGCCGC
Molecule: ribosomal RNA, 519 nt
Filed under: uncultured bacterium
Lineage: Bacteria
Description: bacterial SSU rRNA
Rfam family: Bacterial small subunit ribosomal RNA
Source: RNAcentral